RNAcentral lists this ribosomal RNA (460 nucleotides) under uncultured bacterium. Its description in RNAcentral is "partial 16S ribosomal RNA". It matches the Rfam family "Bacterial small subunit ribosomal RNA", at positions 338 to 795 of the family's 1533-position model. The record is from RNAcentral.
CCUACGGGAGGCAGCAGUGAGGAAUAUUGGUCAAUGGACGCAAGUCUGAACCAGCCAUGCCGCGUGCAGGAAGACGGCUCUAUGAGUUGUAAACUGCUUUUGUACGAGGGUAAACGCAGAUACGCGUAUCUGUCUGAAAGUAUCGUACGAAUACGGAUCGGCUAACUCCGUGCCAGCAGCCGCGGUAAUACGGAGGAUUCAAGCGUUAUCCGGAUUUAUUGGGUUUAAAGGGUGCGUAGGCGGUCGGAUAAGUUAGAGGUGAAAUCCCGAGGCUCAACUUCGGAAUUGCAUCUGAUACUGUGCGGCUAGAGAGUAGAUGCGGAAGGCGGAAUGUAUGGUGUAGCGGUGAAAUGCUUAGAGAUCAUACAGAACACCGGUUGCGAAGGCAGCUUACCAGGCUACUUCUGACGUUGAGGCACGAAAGCGUGGGGAGCAAACAGGAUUAGAUACCCCAGUAGUC